RNAcentral lists this ribosomal RNA (253 nucleotides) under uncultured bacterium. RNAcentral's name for it is "partial 16S ribosomal RNA". It matches the Rfam family "Bacterial small subunit ribosomal RNA", at positions 524 to 776 of the family's 1533-position model. The record is from RNAcentral.
UACGGAGGGAGCUAGCGUUGUUCGGAAUUACUGGGCGUAAAGCGCACGUAGGCGGCUUUGUAAGUUAGAGGUGAAAGCCCGGAGCUCAACUCCGGAAUUGCCUUUAAGACUGCAUCGCUAGAACGUCGGAGAGGUGAGUGGAAUUCCGAGUGUAGAGGUGAAAUUCGUAGAUAUUCGGAAGAACACCAGUGGCGAAGGCGACUCACUGGACGACUGUUGACGCUGAGGUGCGAAAGCGUGGGGAGCAAACAGG